Molecule: ribosomal RNA, 496 nt
Filed under: uncultured bacterium
Lineage: Bacteria
Description: partial 16S ribosomal RNA
Rfam family: Bacterial small subunit ribosomal RNA
Source: RNAcentral
GAUGAACGCUGGCGGCGUGCCUAAUACAUGCCAGUCGAGCGAACAGACGAGGAGCUUGCUCCUCUGACGUUAGCGGCGGACGGGUGAGUAACACGUGGAUAACCUACCUAUAAGACUGGGAUAACUUCGGGAAGCCGGAGCUAAUACCGGAUAAUAUAUUGAACCGCAUGGUUCAAUAGUGAAAGACGGUUUUGCUGUCACUUAUAGAUGGAUCCGCGCCGCAUUAGCUAGUCGGUAAGGUAACGGCUUACCAAGGCGACGAUGCGUAGCCGACCUGAGAGGGUGAUCGGCCACACUGGAACUGAGACACGGUCCAGACUCCUACGGGAGGCAGCAGUAGGGAAUCUUCCGCAAUGGGCGAAAGCCUGACGGAGCAACGCCGCGUGAGUGAUGAAGGUCUUCGGAUCGUAAAACUCUGUUAUUAGGGAAGAACAAAUGUGUAAGUAACUAUGCACGUCUUGACGGUACCUAAUCAGAAAGCCACGGCUAACUACGU